AUGCCAAGGACAACCAUCAUUUUCUCCACCAUCCUCUUCAUGCUCCUUUCUGUAGUGAUAACUGCUCAAUCCAGCAGCUCUGACAGUGGGAAGCCCAAAGCGACCAAGCUCAUGGUGGAAGCAUGCAAGAACGCCUCGAUCAACUACCCCUACGGCGAUCCCUUCUCGCAAGAAUUCUGUUUGUCUACCCUCCAGUCGGACAAUCAGAGUGCCGAGGCUAAGGACCUCCGAGCCCUAGUGCUCGUCGCUAUCGACAUCCUUAAGAGCCAUGUCACUGCCGCUGGCGGUAAGAUCAAGAAAAUGCUGCAAGAUGCCAAGAAGGGAACGGUGAUGAUGCCCGUUCUUAGUUUUUGUGAGGUGGACUAUGACCAUGUGGUGAGACGCCUCAACGUUUGCCAAGGCCUGAUCAGGGACUACCAAGGAGACAAGAGUGGGCGGCAGCCAUUGCGUCUGACUCACUGUGUGGAAAUGUCAUUCACCCCGCUCAACAAGUGCUCGAUCGGGCUUGAAGAUAUGCCAGGGGUGGAGGUCCUCUCCAAAGAAAAUGUUGAGCUGCAGUUUAUGGUGCAAGUCAACACGGGCCUGCUAGCAUCAUAUGACGUCCAUGAUUAA
RNAcentral lists this ribosomal RNA (612 nucleotides) under Triticum aestivum (bread wheat). RNAcentral's name for it is "partial small subunit ribosomal RNA". The record is from RNAcentral. Lineage: Eukaryota; Viridiplantae; Streptophyta; Magnoliopsida; Poales; Poaceae.